GCCCUUAGAGUUUGAUCCUGGCUCAGAACGAACGCUGGCGGCAGGCUUAACACAUGCAAGUCGAGCGCCCCGCAAGGGGAGCGGCAGACGGGUGAGUAACGCGUGGGAAUCUACCCAACCCUACGGAAUAACGCAUGGAAACGUGUGCUAAUACCGUAUACGCCCUACGGGGGAAAGAUUUAUCGGGGAUGGAUGAGCCCGCGUUGGAUUAGCUAGUUGGUGGGGUAAAGGCCUACCAAGGCGACGAUCCAUAGCUGGUCUGAGAGGAUGAUCAGCCACAUUGGGACUGAGACACGGCCCAAACUCCUACGGGAGGCAGCAGUGGGGAAUAUUGGACAAUGGGCGCAAGCCUGAUCCAGCCAUGCCGCGUGAGUGAUGAAGGCCCUAGGGUUGUAAAGCUCUUUCACCGAUGAAGAUAAUGACGGUAGUCGGAGAAGAAGCCCCGGCUAACUUCGUGCCAGCAGCCGCGGUAAUACGAAGGGGGCUAGCGUUGUUCGGAAUUACUGGGCGUAAAGCGCACGUAGGCGGAUAUUUAAGUCAGGGGUGAAAUCCCGCAGCUCAACUGCGGAACUGCCUUUGAUACUGGGUAUCU
RNAcentral lists this ribosomal RNA (592 nucleotides) under uncultured bacterium. RNAcentral's name for it is "bacterial SSU rRNA". It matches the Rfam family "Bacterial small subunit ribosomal RNA", at positions 1 to 642 of the family's 1533-position model. The record is from RNAcentral.